Molecule: ribosomal RNA, 265 nt
Filed under: uncultured bacterium
Lineage: Bacteria
Description: partial 16S ribosomal RNA
Rfam family: Bacterial small subunit ribosomal RNA
Source: RNAcentral
AGAGUUUGAUCCUGGCUCAGGACGAACGCUGGCGGCGUGCCUAACACAUGCAAGUCGAGCGGAGACAGUGAGUAGCUUGCUAUGAGCUGUUUUAGCGGCGGACGGGUGAGUAACGCGUGAGCAACCUUUCCCAGACAGGGGUAAUAACACGACCGAAAGGUGUACUAAUACCGCAUAAGACCACGGGAUCACAUGGUUCUGGGGGUAAAAGAUUUAUCGGUUUGGGGUGGGCUCGCGUCCGAUUAGGUAGUUGGUGAGGUAACGG